GAUGAACGCUAGCGGCAGGCUUAAUACAUGCAAGUCGAGGGGCAGCAUAAGUAGCAAUACUUGAUGGCGACCGGCAAACGGGUGCGGAACACGUACGCAACCUUCCUUUAAGUGGGGAAUAGCCCGGGGAAACCCGGAUUAAUACCCCGUAAUAUUAUGAUGUGGCAUCACAUUAUAAUUAUAGAUUCAUCGCUUAAAGAUGGGCGUGCGCCUGAUUAGGUGGUUGGCGGAGUAAUAGCCCACCAAGCCUGCGAUCAGUAACUGGUGUGAGAGCACGACCAGUCACACGGGCACUGAGACACGGGCCCGACUCCUACGGGAGGCAGCAGUAAGGAAUAUUGGUCAAUGGACGCAAGUCUGAACCAGCCAUGCCGCGUGGAGGAUGAAGGUCCUCUGGAUUGUAAACUUCUUUUAUUGGGAAGAAUGUGAUGAUUCUUUAUCACUUGACGGUACCAGAUAGAAUAAGCACCGGCUAACUCCGUGCCAGC
RNAcentral lists this ribosomal RNA (488 nucleotides) under uncultured bacterium. Its description in RNAcentral is "bacterial SSU rRNA". It matches the Rfam family "Bacterial small subunit ribosomal RNA", at positions 28 to 512 of the family's 1533-position model. The record is from RNAcentral.